UCCAGCAGCUAUAUCAUCCUGCAACUCACAACUGGCAACCCACUGAAGCUCAGCAGGUGUGAGCCUGGUCAGUACCUGGAUGGGAGACCUUCUGGGAAAACUAAGGUUGCUGCUGGAA
This 118-nucleotide ribosomal RNA is filed under the name Lepisosteus oculatus (spotted gar). The record is from RNAcentral. Lineage: Eukaryota; Metazoa; Chordata; Actinopteri; Semionotiformes; Lepisosteidae.